UGUAAGACGUGUUGACUUUUUGCUUAUAACGUUUGACCGUUCGUCUUAUUUAAAAAAUUAUGAAAGUAUCAUUUAUUUUGUUUGUAACUUACUUUAUUAUAAAAAAUACUUUAAGCAUACUUACUGUUUUUUACAUUUGCACAAAAUUUUUGAAUAAGACGAAUGGUCAAACGUUGAAAGCAAAAAGUCA
RNAcentral lists this microRNA precursor (190 nucleotides) under Leersia perrieri. Its description in RNAcentral is "MIR812 microRNA precursor family". It matches the Rfam family "MIR812 microRNA precursor family". The record is from Rfam by way of RNAcentral. Lineage: Eukaryota; Viridiplantae; Streptophyta; Magnoliopsida; Poales; Poaceae.